Molecule: ribosomal RNA, 625 nt
Filed under: uncultured Burkholderia sp.
Lineage: Bacteria; Pseudomonadati; Pseudomonadota; Betaproteobacteria; Burkholderiales; Burkholderiaceae
Description: bacterial SSU rRNA
Rfam family: Bacterial small subunit ribosomal RNA
Source: RNAcentral
GGCGAAAGCCGGAUUAAUACCGCAUACGCUCUACGGAGGAAAGGGGGGGAUCUUCGGACCUCUCGCUACAGGGGCGGCCGAUGGCAGAUUAGCUAGUUGGUGGGGUAAAGGCCUACCAAGGCGACGAUCUGUAGCUGGUCUGAGAGGACGACCAGCCACACUGGGACUGAGACACGGCCCAGACUCCUACGGGAGGCAGCAGUGGGGAAUUUUGGACAAUGGGCGCAAGCCUGAUCCAGCAAUGCCGCGUGUGUGAAGAAGGCCUUCGGGUUGUAAAGCACUUUUGUCCGGAAAGAAAACUUCUGCCCUAAUACGGCGGGAGGAUGACGGUACCGGAAGAAUAAGCACCGGCUAACUACGUGCCAGCAGCCGCGGUAAUACGUAGGGUGCAAGCGUUAAUCGGAAUUACUGGGCGUAAAGCGUGCGCAGGCGGUCCGCUAAGACAGAUGUGAAAUCCCCGGGCUUAACCUGGGAACUGCAUUUGUGACUGGCGGGCUAGAGUAUGGCAGAGGGGGGUAGAAUUCCACGUGUAGCAGUGAAAUGCGUAGAGAUGUGGAGGAAUACCGAUGGCGAAGGCAGCCCCCUGGGCCAAUACUGACGCUCAUGCACGAAAGCGUGGGGAGCA